Molecule: ribosomal RNA, 1141 nt
Filed under: uncultured bacterium
Lineage: Bacteria
Description: bacterial SSU rRNA
Rfam family: Bacterial small subunit ribosomal RNA
Source: RNAcentral
GACCGCAAGCCUCAUGCUAUAGACGGCGAGUUUGAUUAGCUAGUUGGUGGGUUAGUCCACAGCGACGAUCAGUAGCUGUCGAGAGGACGAUCAGCCACACUGACUGAGACACGCCCAGACUCUACGGAGCAGCAGUGGGGAUUUUGACAAUGGCGAAGCUGAUCCAGCAUGCGCGUGUGUGAAGAAGGCAUCGGGUGUAAAGCACUUUGUCCGAAAGAAAUGGCUCUGCUAAUACCUGGGUCGAUGACGGUACCGGAAGAAUAAGGACCGGCUAACUACGUGCCAGCAGCCGCGGUAAUACGUAGGGUCAAGCGUUAAUCGGAAUUACUGGGCGUAAAGCGUGCGCAGGCGGUUGUGCAAGACCGAUGUGAAAUCCCCGAGCUUAACUUGGGAAUUGCAUUGGUGACUGCACGGCUAGAGUGUGUCAGAGGGGGGUAGAAUUCCACGUGUAGCAGUGAAAUGCGUAGAGAUGUGGAGGAAUACCGAUGGCGAAGGCAGCCCCCUGGGAUAACACUGACGCUCAUGCACGAAAGCGUGGGGAGCAAACAGGAUUAGAUACCCUGGUAGUCCACGCCCUAAACGAUGUCAACUAGUUGUUGGGGAUUCAUUUCCUUAGUAACGUAGCUAACGCGUGAAGUUGACCGCCUGGGGAGUACGGUCGCAAGAUUAAAACUCAAAGGAAUUGACGGGGACCCGCACAAGCGGUGGAUGAUGUGGAUUAAUUCGAUGCAACGCGAAAAACCUUACCUACCCUUGACAUGCCACUAACGAAGCAGAGAUGCAUUAGGUGCUCGAAAGAGAAAGUGGACACAGGUGCUGCAUGGCUGUCGUCAGCUCGUGUCGUGAGAUGUUGGGUUAAGUCCCGCAACGAGCGCAACCCUUGUCUCUAGUUGCUACGAAAGGGCACUCUAGAGAGACUGCCGGUGACAAACCGGAGGAAGGUGGGGAUGACGUCAAGUCCUCAUGGCCCUUAUGGGUAGGGCUUCACACGUCAUACAAUGGUGCAUACAGAGGGUUGCCAAGCCGCGAGGUGGAGCUAAUCCCAGAAAAUGCAUCGUAGUCCGGAUCGUAGUCUGCAACUCGACUACGUGAAGCUGGAAUCGCUAGUAAUCGCGGAUCAGCAUGCCGUCGGGAAACGGCC